GUGCUCGCUUUGGCAGCACAUAUACUAAAAUUGGAACGAUACAGAGAUUAGCAUGGCCCCUGCACAAGGAUAACACACAAAUUCUUUUAAAAAGAAAU
RNAcentral lists this small nuclear RNA (98 nucleotides) under Carlito syrichta (Philippine tarsier). The record is from RNAcentral. Lineage: Eukaryota; Metazoa; Chordata; Mammalia; Primates; Tarsiidae.